Molecule: long non-coding RNA, 403 nt
Filed under: Malus domestica (apple)
Lineage: Eukaryota; Viridiplantae; Streptophyta; Magnoliopsida; Rosales; Rosaceae
Description: long non-coding RNA (MDOM_LNC003357)
Source: RNAcentral
CCCGGGCUGAUUCCGUGCUAAAGUCUUGGUAAAAAGGACAAAAUAACCUCAAUAAUCACAUCCAAGCAACAAACCAACACGGAAAGAGAGGUUCGAGGCUUACCUAACCAUAACCCAUGAAGAACUCGCCGGAGGUUCUUGGGGUUUCGUCGAGUUGCGCAGCGACGGGAGAGAGAGAAAGAGAGAGAGAGAGACGACGGCGUGUAGAAGGUGAUGACGAUGCCGUCGACGGAGUACCACGAAGGGUGUGCGUGGGUGCUCUCGGGUGUGGGUCAAAGGGUGAAAGAGUGAGGGUCUUCGAGAGAGGGAGAGUGAGUGCAGAGAAGAAAGAAGGAGAAAGAGGUCACGGGGUGGGGAGAGAGAGAGAUACGUGAGGGUGCUAGGGUGCUGCCAUGUGGUAGCU